Strongylocentrotus purpuratus (purple sea urchin) is the source of this 45-nucleotide non-coding RNA. The record is from Rfam. NCBI's taxonomy places the organism in Eukaryota, Metazoa, Echinodermata, Echinoidea, Camarodonta, Strongylocentrotidae.
AAAGAGGUUUUGCUAAAAACCACAAUUAUGUUUAAUAGAAAGAAG